RNAcentral lists this ribosomal RNA (274 nucleotides) under uncultured bacterium. Its description in RNAcentral is "partial 16S ribosomal RNA". It matches the Rfam family "Bacterial small subunit ribosomal RNA", at positions 523 to 796 of the family's 1533-position model. The record is from RNAcentral.
AUACGGAGGGUGCAAGCGUUGUUCGGAAUCACUGGGCGUAAAGGGCGCGCAGGCGGUUUUACAAGUCAGAUGUGAAAGCCCACGGCUCAACCGUGGAAGUGCAUUUGAAACUGUAAGACCUGAGUAUCAGAGGGGAAGGUGGAAUUCCCGGUGUAGAGGUGAAAUUCGUAGAUAUCGGGAGGAAUACCGGUGGCGAAGGCGACUUUCUGGCUGAAUACUGACGCUGAGGCGCGAAAGCGUGGGGAGCAAACAGGAUUAGAAACCCUUGUAGUCC